Molecule: ribosomal RNA, 243 nt
Filed under: Ixodes scapularis (black-legged tick)
Lineage: Eukaryota; Metazoa; Arthropoda; Arachnida; Ixodida; Ixodidae
Description: partial 16S ribosomal RNA
Source: RNAcentral
UUUAUUAUUAAUAUUUUGCAAUUAAAUUAUUAAUAAUUUAAUUGGGGUGAUAAAAAAAGAAUAAGUAUCUUUUUAAAUUAUAAAAUAAGUUCCGUUUUUAGCGAUUAAAUGAAAAAAAUACUCUAGGGAUAACAGCGUAAUAAUUUUGGAUAGUUCAUAUAGAUAAAAUAGUUUGCGACCUCGAUGUUGGAUUAGGAUUCUUUUUUGGUGAAGAAGUUAAGAAAAGAAGUUUGUUCAACUUUU